AUGCUUCUCUUAAAGACUAAGCCAUGCAUGUCUCCGAAUAGAAGAGCGAUCUCUCCGAAUCUGCGAACGGCUCCGCAAACCAGUUGUAAACUAUAGCAAGCAGCCCUGGCGCCAGGAUAAAAGCUCGCAAUGGGGUAAAUGGAUAACCGUGGUAAUUCUGAGGCUAAUACAUGAGCGUACCACCCAGCUGACGGAAACGAAGGUUGGGGUACGUGUGACUCAAGACAGCAAGCGAUACAGGAAUGGGUGCACGUUCAGACCACCGUAAAACACAGUCUCGGUUCCCCGAACUGCCUUCGGGCAGGGACGGUGCCUUGUCUGGGUGGCUCUUGCGUUGUGCUUCUGACCUAUCAACUAGAUGGCAGCGUAACGGACAUGCUAUGGUGACAACGGGUACAGAGGAUAAGGGUUCGAUCCUGGAGAGUGGGCCUGAGAGAUUGCUCACACUUCUAAGGAAGGCAGCAGGCGCGCAACGUUCCCAAUGGGCAAUGCCCGAGGGCGUUAGGAGACAUAUGAAUGCUUGCCAAUAGGUGGGCAAUUCAAAUGGGUUCGUUCUAAACAGCCCU
RNAcentral lists this ribosomal RNA (566 nucleotides) under Badhamia crassipella. RNAcentral describes it as "SSU rRNA". It matches the Rfam family "Eukaryotic small subunit ribosomal RNA", at positions 28 to 536 of the family's 1831-position model. Lineage: Eukaryota; Evosea; Eumycetozoa; Physariida; Physaraceae. The record is from RNAcentral.